UCAAGCAUUCAUUUCCUUUUCCCCUUCUCGUGAGUACGCACCCCCAUGGGAGACGAAAAUAAUUGACGAGAGAUCGUCACGCGGAGAAGUGUGAAUAAGGUUUCAGCGAGAGAGAGAGAGAGAGAGUACGCGGUAUUCAGUCGUCACGCGGAGAAGUGUGAAUAAGUGCGAAUAAGUUUUCAGUGAGAGAGAGAGAGUACGCGGUGUUCAGUCGUCAUGCGGAGAAGUGUGGAUAAGGUUUCAGUUUACAUGUGAAAAAGGAAAAAAGAAAGAAAGAGCAUCGACUUAGAUUGACAAUUUGCGAAGCCAUAUCUCCUCCUUCUCGUUCUAUCAUCAUAGCGGCAACGGAACGAUCUUCGUGUUGUCUGCAGCUUCACCAGCCACGUUGAGGCGACUGAAUCGAAGCUCCUUAGCUGAUCUCUACUUGGAUUCACUGAGGUGAAUGAUCAUACUUCCUCUCAUCUUCUGUACAUUUGAUUCCUCCGAUUUCACCCAGCUCUAAUUGGCCUAAUCUGCAUCCGUGUUGUGUUCGUACUCUCUCUCCAACUAUAUAUGUCAUUCUCUGGCUAAUCUAUCUUGUCGUAGUUGAUCCGUGGUUCUUGGAUGCUGCGAUGGGAUUCUAUGGUUGGUCCGCAACCCCAGUGCUCGUUUGCUACUUAAGAUCUAGUCCUUUAAAUUGUUGGAACUGGGAGUUCGUCUUCUUUAGGUUGAGAGGGGUGAGAAGGAAUCUGCAAUGAGCUUCGUUGCUCCUCUGCUCAUUUUUCUUGUCCUUUAUCCCUUGAUUUGCACUGGAUAAUCAUGAUGAACAUUUUUUAACUUGUAUUUAUGGUGAUUUCAGAAUGACCCUUCCUUUCUAUUCCAGAUUGGUUUUCUCUUCUUUACUGGAUGCGUAAUAUGCAUAUUAUUUAUAUCGGACUGGUUACAUUCCUGCUCUCUCAUCUGGAUACAAGAUUUUGUGCUUACGUUGAUCUGUUCCUGUUUUUUUAUCCAAAGUUGAAUAUAUUGCUAGUGACUGGAAUGAUUUUCACCUUAUAUCUUGAAAGAAGUAGGUAAUGAAUGGUCAUGGUCAGAUCAUUUUCAUCCUUUGUUAAACACUUUUGAAUCCUCCACUUCAGAUGAACAUGUUCUGUUUUGAAAAUAUUUCACUGGGCUUAAAAUGAUUUUAUAGCUAUAAGCCCCACAUCUGAUGAGAAGAACAUGCUAUAUAUUGAUUUUUUUUUUUUGUAAAGUUGUUAAUUACCUAAUGUAUUCAUAAUAGAUUAUAUCCGGACAGUCUACUGUACUGCAAAAGAAUGUAAUGUAAUUGGCCUUCUGCUAGGUAUGAGGACCUACUUCUUAUUCAAAAUGCAUCAUGUGGAAUGCAGCCAAAUGUUGAGCAGUAUCAUAGUAUUGUUUGGAUACCUUCCUCAUACCGGAAAAUUUACUGUUGAUAUGCGGGGGUAAAGUUCGAUCAUCACUUGUUAAAGUGCCUAGGUAUAAGCUGGUCUGGUUCACUUCAAACGUUUGAAAACACAGUUUAUUAUUUUGAAUAUGCUGCCAACUCGAGACAGAUUGAAGAAAUGGAAUCCUUCUUUGAAUGAUGUUUGCCUUCUCUAGACUUCUUGUGUCAAUGUGAGUGAAGGCUAACUCAAGGUUGUAAUUUGUAAGGCCACACGAGUUGGAAACGCUGGAACAUCAAGCCUAUAACUGUAGAAUAGCCGCAAGAGUAUUUUUGCAUGUGAGAUAAGCAUCUCUAUGCGAAAGACAAUUGACCUAAUCAUUAACCGGGAAUUGAGAACUCUACAUAGAUUUGAUUGACCCUCAUUAUUUCCCAUGAAAAUUUCCGCAUGGAUCUGUCAAAGCAAAAACACAGAAAAAGUUAUUUGUGAACCGCAACUUAAACUUGAGCAUUCUUUUCAAUUUCCUUCCCGUAGAUUUUAGACAGAUCUAACUUUCGCUACUACAGGGUCUAAAAAUUGGCCAUCAAAGAGAAUCUGUUUGUGAACAGGCUAAUUUCCAUUAGCGAGUCACUUGAUUCAUAUAGGAUGAAAAAAAAUAACACCUAUUUGAGGGAAUAGUAUUAUGGUCCUUUUGCUCAAAUCAAGACAUUUUCCCAUGUCCAGGAGAGCCCUGCCUCAACUACAACACGAGGCACUUCGUGAAGGGGGAAAGGCCAAAAGAUUUUUCCUUAUACCAGCUAAAACAAUUUGAGGUUAAGGUUUCUGAGCAGAUUUGGCGUGGUCCUCAAAGCUUUCUGAAUUCUCCACGAUCGAUUUCCAUAGGGGAUGCGUUGCUUCUUUUCUUGCUUCCGCGUGUAGGAGGACGACGAUCGCUUAGCUCCCUCGCUCCAUUCCCUACCAGAAACCCCCGUAAGCUCUACGUGCAUUCUGUAGUCAAUGUUCUGUUUUGAAGUGGAUGAGUGGAAGUGGGGACUCCACCUCCUCCUCUACAUGUUUAGUUUUCUCAAAAUAAGUUGGGCGAUUCAAGUUGCUCCUCAUUUUACAUUUUUUUGAUGUUUUUUGGUUCUUUUUAAUUAGAAGCUGGAUGAAACUAGCUCUAUCGUUAGACGAUUUAACAUAUUUUUCCCGUGAGG
RNAcentral lists this long non-coding RNA (2572 nucleotides) under Eucalyptus grandis. RNAcentral's name for it is "long non-coding RNA (EGRA_LNC002793)". Lineage: Eukaryota; Viridiplantae; Streptophyta; Magnoliopsida; Myrtales; Myrtaceae. The record is from RNAcentral.